GAUGAUACAACUGGAGCUAAUGAGUAUGCUGUUGGAUGCUCAUGGGCUUACAGUGACUGCAUGAGUUUGUUUGCAAUUUUGGGCGGAUCUGGACCCUUGGGUUUGGGCUACUGGUGCAUUGGACAUGACUUGCGACAGUGGGAAGGAGAAAAUUGGCGGUCGGUGAGGUGCAGGGAAGGUCCAUAUGCAUUGUAGACUGUCAAGUUCCAGUCGUUCACGAUUCAGGUUGAAAUCUGACCCGAUUAGAUAUCAGCUUCUAGGGCACCUCAGUGAUGUGCAAAAUCCGCAAGUAUACGUUCAUGUUGUAGUAUAGAAAAUAUCGUUUCCACGAGGAUCGGGAUAAUUACGAAAUUUAUUGAUUAUAUACAUUAUCUAGACGGUUAAUUUGUAUGUAAAUGAAGCAAUAAGGUAGACUAACCAAUAUGCAAAUAAACUAGAUGUAAAUAAAAGCAAAUAUGGAAAGCUAAUGCGGAAAAUUAAUCUAAAAUAAGGUAAUUAAAGUGCAAUUAUAUCUAAAAUAAGGCUAGCUAUAACAAACAAUUACCAAUAUAUAAAAAGGCGAUUCUAGAGUUUGGAAAUGCACACUCCAAUUAACCUGGUAUUCCUCUAAUUAAUUUAAUGAAUGGGUCUCUGAAGGAAAUUAAUUCUGAAAUAUCUAUGAUUCUUUCUCAAGCAUUCAAAGAAGUAUUUUAAACAAGUCAAUUCCUAUUUUCGUGCUCAUGACUUAGUUAAAACCCAUUAAGCUUUGUAAUUAAUUUAUAAAAUCCUUUCACAAAUUUCAUUUUAUCUUUAAAUCUGAAUUUGCAAGUUCUAAGCGUUGGUUUUCCACUAUUAAUUUUUACCUCUCGGUCCUUCAAUUAAUGAUUUAAAACAAUUCUUUGAGACGCCUAACACAAAGCAUGUAAAAAUAAAUCACAAGGCAAGAAUCAAAGCAUGAUAUGCAUUUCAUUAAACCAAAAUCAGAUUAAUAUCAUGGUUAAAAUAGAGUGUUACAUCCCAAACUCUGAAAUCUAAGUUAAUUUGCUCACUCAUGUUCAAGAUUACAAAGAAAACUAUCAAGAAAUUGACAAAUAACAUGAAAAUAAACUAAGAAAUGAAAAACCCUGGUGAAGAUUUAGUCCAAAGUGAUGGAAUCUGAGUAGAAUCCCACGCUGAGCAGAGAACCAUGGGUCUGUGGUUGCUGUUUCUUUUUCUCCAAAGAGAAUUGAAGUUUCUUCUUAGGUUCCUCUCUCUCUUCCCCUUCUUGGAUAAAAACAGAAUAUGAUGCUUUUAUAUUAUAUUGGCAGAAUAAAAGCUCUAAAAGGGUAAAACGCAGCACUGCAGGUCUGGAGUAAGUCACGCUUAAAUUUGUUGAGCUGGACAAAUUUUAAAUUUACAUGACCUUAUGUAACGGCAAGCUUAACACAGUCACGCUUCAUUUCAUGUGUGAAGCCUGCAUUUACAUGAGCUUAUUUAACUGCAAAUUCACCAGAACUCAAAACAUUUUUCCCCUCAUUCUCAAUUUCAGGGACUUCCAAUCAGCAUGUAUCCUUCUGAAAAAGUCUCCAGAAACCUUCUGUGCUUGGAAUUAACCUAAAGGGAAGGAAAAACACAAAUCAAAGGCAAGAUUAUAAAAAUAUAGAAAAUUAAGUAAAAACAUAGUUAACAUAGUAUAAAGUAAAUAUUUACAAGGCCAAAAUGGAUGCAAAAUGAUUCCUAAAUGCCUGUAAAAUGAGAAUGCAUCACUCGGGCGGCUAGACUUGCACUGUUGGAGUUGCAUGUGGAUUGGCAGUGGCAACACGGUUGUUUGAAGUUUAGAGAGUGGUGGCUUGUCACAAGGCUUUGUUUUCUCAAGGAAAUAUAUAUUUUUUUUAAAUAACAACGAUGUGGUGGUCAAGGGGGAAGAAAAAAAUGGAUUUGUGGGUGGAAACUAGAGGGAAAAGCUAGAUAGUGGGGAACUUGAGUGGAUGAUUGUAUUUGGAAAGAAGCUAGGAAAACUUGGAUUGGGUUCUAAUUGCUCUCGUACAACAUAUAUGAUACCAAAUUGAUGUAGAACUAAUAUAGCAAGGGUGAAGGAAAACAAAUUCUCAAGAGAUAAAUUCUCAAGAGAUAAAUUCUCAAUUUAAUUGUCAAUAAUGAAAAAGGCCUACUAAAAUACCUAGAGAACUUUGAUGUAUAUGUUAUAGUUGUUAAUCCUACUACUACUAGGAUUUGGAAUCACAAACAGGCAAAUACUAAUCAAAUUCUAAUUAAAAAUCCAAAACCAACUUAAUUUCCUAAAUAAUAAUAAACACUAAUUAAUAGAAACCUAAAGUUCAUAAUUUUUCAAUGAAAAAUAAAAUCAAAAUAAUUUAACCUUCCUUGGCUGCAUCAUCUCCUUGAUUGGAGAAAACUCAACCUUAAGAUAUAGUGCGGAAGAAUCAAGAACUAGAUUCGAAGAACAAGCAACUGAGCUAUCCUUUUGGAUGGUAGAACUGAGCUAGAAAGAAUUUUAUGCUUUCCUUUGCAUUCUUAAAAGCAUUUGAACAUAGAAAAUCAAUCAAAACUACAAUUGAAAGACUCUUCAAUUUAAUAGGACCAAGGGAAAUGAAAAGUCUACAAUUUCCACUGUCGUUUCCUUGGCUUGAUUUUCUUUUCAAUUUCCAUUGAGGUCUCCAUGGCUUGAUUUUAUUUGUUCCCUAGGAUAGAUUUUCAAGCUUAUCAUGCUCAUUCUCAUUAGUUUCCUUUUCUAGAACAGGUUCUUCAACAUAUGAAGGCUUAACAACCAAAUCUUCGGAUCUUCAAACUUAUGUUCUUCAAGCUGGUAUCUUUUUUCUUUUUCAACUUCAUCUUCAAGUAGCUUGUCAAUGUUCAUCUUUACGUUCUUGCAUCAUAUCUUAAGCAACUCUUGACAUCACAUCAAGCUCUGCUUUUUGUUGAAACAAAUAUUCUUCCUUCCAUGCUUCAAGUUCUCUUCCCCUCACUCAAAAUUUGUUUGAUACCUCAAUAUUUAUAAAAUAAGUGAUUAUAUAAGUCACGAGGACAAUAUUUAACACCACCAUUUUUAUUCAUUCAAUGACAUAUAUAAAAUAACUGUGCCUUGUAGUCAUCACCUUCAUCUUGUAGUCUUUCAAUGUCGGUCCACAAUGUAAAGUCUCACUAAAAAGACAAUUCAAAGCUCUUACAAGCCUUAAAUAUUCAUUUCUGGCCAAAAGGGACAUCAAAAUCAUAAUCAGCACAUUGAAAUUAGAGGGAGGAGUCCGGCAAAAAUUUUUAUUGAGGUGGCAGGAGUUGAUGUGGCAGUGAGGUGGUGGUUGAUGUGGCGUUGAGCUGGCUAUGAUGUGGCACUGAUGUCUGCAAUAACAAACAUAGGAUUUGGUGGAACACAGCUCACAGUUAUUGGGUAAGCUCAGCUGCGGAACUAGAUGGAUCUUGACCCAACCCAAGGAUUUCUCAUUGCUAGGGCAUCAAACUGGAAUUCUGACAAUAGAAAAGGUUGAACGGCCGCUGGCAAGGGUGGGGAAGUUCCAGACUUUGGAAACUAAUGAGCUUCUGGUGGGUCAUGAUUCGAGUCAAGAUUUGACCCGAACAGAUCUCCAUCCCUGGGCAACUGUUGGCAGUCCCUUGGUGCCGAAUAAAUGUUUGGCAGGGAUGGCGCAGUUGUUUGGUGAUAGGAGAGAUGAUGAUUGUUUAAAGGCAGUGAUGAGGGUGUUUGUUCGCUAUGCGCUGCUUCGCAAAGGAUAAGGGCAGUGGCGAGGGUGUUUGUUUGCUAUGCUCUGCUUCGCAAGGGAGAGUGUUAUUACAAAAACAGUAAAUCAAGGAAGGAAAAUUUUUCAAAGGAAGCUAAAACAUAGAUUGAAUUUUUGAGCUUUGAUACCAAAAUGAUGUAGAACAAAAGAACACAAAAGGCAAAGAAACAAAUUCUUAAAUUUUAUUGAUUAUCAAAAAUAAUAUCAUAAUAAGCUCUUUCUUUCUCUCUCUCUCUCU
Molecule: unclassified non-coding RNA, 3945 nt
Filed under: Hevea brasiliensis (rubber tree)
Lineage: Eukaryota; Viridiplantae; Streptophyta; Magnoliopsida; Malpighiales; Euphorbiaceae
Source: RNAcentral